GAUGAACGCUGGCGGCGUGCCUAAUACAUGCAAGUCGAGCGAACAGACGAGGAGCUUGCUCCUCUGACGUUAGCGGCGGACGGGUGAGUAACACGUGGAUAACCUACCUAUAAGACUGGGAUAACUUCGGGAAACCGGAGCUAAUACCGGAUAACAUGUUGAACCGCAUGGUUCAACAGUGAAAGACGGUCUUGCUGUCGCUUAUAGAUGGAUCCGCGCCGCAUUAGCUAGUUGGUAAGGUAACGGCUUACCAAGGCAACGAUGCGUAGCCGACCUGAGAGGGUGAUCGGCCACACUGGAACUGAGACACGGUCCAGACUCCUACGGGAGGCAGCAGUAGGGAAUCUUCCGCAAUGGGCGAAAGCCUGACGGAGCAACGCCGCGUGAGUGAAGAAGGUCUUCGGAUCGUAAAACUCUGUUAUUAGUGAAGAACAAAUGUGUAAGUAACUAUGCACGUCUUGACGGUACCUAAUCAGAAAGCCACGGCUAACUACGUG
RNAcentral lists this ribosomal RNA (497 nucleotides) under uncultured bacterium. Its description in RNAcentral is "partial 16S ribosomal RNA". It matches the Rfam family "Bacterial small subunit ribosomal RNA", at positions 28 to 507 of the family's 1533-position model. The record is from RNAcentral.